UAACACAUGCAAGUCGAGCGGUAGAGAGGUGCUUGCACCUCUUGAGAGCGGCGGACGGGUGAGUAAAGCCUAGGAAUCUGCCUGGUAGUGGGGGAUAACGCUCGGAAACGGACGCUAAUACCGCAUACGUCCUAGGGGAGAAAGCAGGGGACCUUCGGGCCUUGCGCUAUCAGAUGAGCCUAGGUCGGAUUAGCUAGUUGGUGAGGUAAUGGCUCACCAAGGCGACGAUCCGUAACUGGUCUGAGAGGAUGAUCAGUCACACUGGAACUGAGACACGGUCCAGACUCCUACGGGAGGCAGCAGUGGGGAAUAUUGGACAAUGGGCGAAAGCCUGAUCCAGCCAUGCCGCGUGUGUGAAGAAGGUCUUCGGAUUGUAAAGCACUUUAAGUUGGGGGGAAGGGCAUUAACCUAAUACGUUAGUGUUUUAACGUUACCGACAGAAUAAGCACCGGCUAACUCUGUGCCAGCAGCCGCGGUAAUACAGAGGGUGCAAGCGUUAAUCGGAAUUACUGGGCGUAAAGCGCGCGUAGGUGGUUCGUUAAGUUGGAUGUGAAAUCCCCGGGCUCAACCUGGGAACUGCAUUCAAAACUGUCGAGCUAGAGUAUGGUAGAGGGUGGUGGAAUUUCCUGU
RNAcentral lists this ribosomal RNA (630 nucleotides) under Pseudomonas sp. GV-R2A-21. RNAcentral describes it as "bacterial SSU rRNA". It matches the Rfam family "Bacterial small subunit ribosomal RNA", at positions 49 to 674 of the family's 1533-position model. The record is from RNAcentral. Lineage: Bacteria; Pseudomonadati; Pseudomonadota; Gammaproteobacteria; Pseudomonadales; Pseudomonadaceae.